GGAGAGGUACCCAAGUGGUUGAAGGGGACGGUUUGCUAAAUCGUUAGGGGCGCAAGCCCGCGAGGGUUCGAAUCCCUCCCUCUCCGCCA
This 89-nucleotide transfer RNA is filed under the name Patescibacteria group bacterium. RNAcentral describes it as "tRNA-Ser". It matches the Rfam family "tRNA". Rfam says of the family: Transfer RNA (tRNA) molecules are approximately 80 nucleotides in length. Their secondary structure includes four short double-helical elements and three loops (D, anti-codon, and T loops). Further hydrogen bonds mediate the characteristic L-shaped molecular structure. tRNAs have two regions of fundamental functional importance: the anti-codon, which is responsible for specific mRNA codon recognition, and the 3' end, to which the tRNAs corresponding amino acid is attached (by aminoacyl-tRNA synthetases). tRNAs cope with the degeneracy of the genetic code in two manners: having more than one tRNA (with a specific anti-codon) for a particular amino acid; and 'wobble' base-pairing, i.e. permitting non-standard base-pairing at the 3rd anti-codon position. The record is from RNAcentral. RNAcentral also lists the same sequence under 1 other name.